ACUCCUACGGGAGGCAGCAGUGGGGAAUAUUGCACAAUGGGCGCAAGCCUGAUGCAGCCAUGCCGCGUGUAUGAAGAAGGCCUUCGGGUUGUAAAGUACUUUCAGCAGUGAGGAAGGUGGAUAUGUUAAUAGCAUAUUCUAUUUGUACGUUAGCUGCAGAAGAAGCACCGGCUAACUCCGUGCCAGCAGCCGCGGUAAUACGGAGGGUGCGAGCGUUAAUCGGAAUUACUGGGCGUAAAGCGCAUGCAGGUGGUUUGUUAAGUCAGAUGUGAAAGCCCGGGGCUCAACCUCGGAAUUGCAUUUGAAACUGGCAAACUAGAGUACUGUAGAGGGGGUAGGAAUUUCAGGUGUAGCGGUGAAAUGCGUAGAGAUCUGAAGGAAUACCGGUGGCGAACGGCGGCCCCCGUGGACAGAUACUGACACUCAGAUGCGAAAGCGUGGGAGCAAACAGGAUUAGAUACCCCGUGUAGGUCAGUC
This 477-nucleotide ribosomal RNA is filed under the name uncultured bacterium. RNAcentral's name for it is "bacterial SSU rRNA". It matches the Rfam family "Bacterial small subunit ribosomal RNA", at positions 335 to 800 of the family's 1533-position model. The record is from RNAcentral.